GGAGCUGUGACUCAACAGCAGAGCAUCUCCUCGGCAUGCAGAAGGUCCCAGGGUUCAAUCCCUGGAAUCUCCA
RNAcentral lists this transfer RNA (73 nucleotides) under Sphaerodactylus townsendi. RNAcentral describes it as "tRNA-Ala". The record is from RNAcentral. Lineage: Eukaryota; Metazoa; Chordata; Lepidosauria; Squamata; Sphaerodactylidae.